UACGAAGGGGGCGAGCGUUGUUCGGAAUCACUGGGCGUAAAGCGCACGUAGGCGGCGCGUUAAGUCAGGGGUGAAAUCCUGGAGCUCAACUCCAGAACUGCCUUUGAUACUGGCGUGCUCGAGUGUGGGAGAGGUUGGUGGAACUCCGAGUGUAGAGGUGAAAUUCGUAGAUAUUCGGAAGAACACCAGUGGCGAAGGCGGCCAACUGGCCCACUACUGACGCUGAGGUGCGAAAGCGUGGGGAGCAAACAGG
RNAcentral lists this ribosomal RNA (253 nucleotides) under uncultured bacterium. Its description in RNAcentral is "partial 16S ribosomal RNA". It matches the Rfam family "Bacterial small subunit ribosomal RNA", at positions 524 to 776 of the family's 1533-position model. The record is from RNAcentral.